RNAcentral lists this ribosomal RNA (253 nucleotides) under uncultured bacterium. RNAcentral's name for it is "partial 16S ribosomal RNA". It matches the Rfam family "Bacterial small subunit ribosomal RNA", at positions 524 to 776 of the family's 1533-position model. The record is from RNAcentral.
UACAGAGGUCUCAAGCGUUGUUCGGAUUCAUUGGGCGUAAAGGGUGUGUAGGUGGCGCGCUAAGUCGGGUGUGAAAUUUCGGAGCUUAACUCCGAAACUGCAUUCGAUACUGGCGUGCUUGAGGACUGGAGAGGAGACUGGAAUUUACGGUGUAGCAGUGAAAUGCGUAGAUAUCGUAAGGAAGACCAGUGGCGAAGGCGGGUCUCUGGACAGUUCCUGACACUGAGACACGAAGGCCAGGGGAGCAAACGGA